GACGAACGCUGGCGGCGUGCUUAACACAUGCAAGUCGAACGGAAAGGCCCUUCGGGGUACUCGAGUGGCGAACGGGUGAGUAACACGUGGGUGAUCUGCCCUGCACUUCGGGAUAAGCCU
RNAcentral lists this ribosomal RNA (120 nucleotides) under uncultured bacterium. RNAcentral describes it as "partial 16S ribosomal RNA". It matches the Rfam family "Bacterial small subunit ribosomal RNA", at positions 28 to 150 of the family's 1533-position model. The record is from RNAcentral.